AAAUUUACAAACGAAAAUAAUUUCUGGUGGAGUGCCAGGAUACUGGGUUUUACAGGACGGAGGGAAGAGAAGUAAUGAAAGAGGCAGUCUGUUAGCCCAAAGAGCAUGCCCAUCACCACAGCGAUGCACUUCCGGUCAACAGGCGAUGCACUUCCGUUGCUUACGGAAGAGUUGACUGAAACAGCUGUUUGAGGCAGGGAGGGCAACUCUCCACUCACCGGUCCCCCUCCUCCGUCAUUUUUAAAAUUUGUGAUCUAUGAGUAUAUAACAUAAAUUUUCCACACUAAGCACUUUUAAGCCUAGAAGGUUUAAUUAUAAAUAAUACAAAAUAGAAAUGAAAUAUUCUAUGAAAUAUAGAAGAGACAAAUUCAUGGAGACAGAAACCAUCACAUUUCACUAUUCAACACUGUGAAUGACCGAGUUUUCCACAAGAGCUUGGUGGAAAGUAGAGGAUAUGGAUACAGCCGAGGUCUUGUCACUCAGGCACUAGAAAACAUAAUGGAAAAUAAGAAGGCCGGAACCUGUCUGAUGUUCUGAAUUCCAUUAAAAUUAAAUAAACUAUUAAAAUGAAAACCUUUGGUUUUUUUUUUUUUUUUUAAU
This 600-nucleotide long non-coding RNA is filed under the name Fukomys damarensis (Damara mole-rat). RNAcentral's name for it is "lncRNA (ENSFDAG00000033585.1)". Lineage: Eukaryota; Metazoa; Chordata; Mammalia; Rodentia; Bathyergidae. The record is from RNAcentral.